CGAGGAAGCCGUUUUCUCCUUACUCUCACACUCCAGCCAAGAACAGUUCACGAUCUUCUAGCUCCGCAUCGAUUGGCUCAUGAUCAAUCUUAGAUAUUGCAAGGUAGUUGAUUGUGAUUUUGGCUAGUGUAGGAUGACGACGAAGAGUUAAGAUAAGAAAUAUACAUUAGGUCGUAGAAAUAAAGGAGUUUAAAAUAAAUUAUCUUGCACGUUUUGGAAACGGCAUUACACAGUCGGUAUUGUUUUUUUAUUUUUAUGUUGAUUAAUUUCGGAACAUGUUUAUGAUGAAAGUAAGCCGUUGAAUUUAUGUCAGACGUUUUCGGUGUUUUGUUGUGUGGGCAAGUAUGGCCAAUUCACCCCCUAUUCUGAGAAAGUCUGGUUCUGGGGUACAGUGACAUUCUUUGGUACAUGAUAAAUGACCACUCUGGUGCGACAUCUGAAUAGAAAAUUGUUCAUUUAAAAUUCACAAUUCACAUGUCAAACUGAUUGGAAUUCUUUCACACGCGGAGCUACAAUUGGACUAAAGGGCAACUGGUGUCUUUGUUGUCGGGAGAGUCUUUUGGUCUCUAGAGAAAAUUCAGUUAACUUAAGGUGCGUGAACAAAAAGAGGAAAAGUGGCAGCUGAGAUAUUUUACAAGAAGUGAACCAAAAUGUGAUUUCCAGAGAUCACAGGAUAGAGAAAUAAAUGAAUCAACAAACGGAUUGCACAUAGCCCAUUACGUUAUUGUAGCUUGUGACAAAUAGUAAACAUUCCACAAGAAAGCGUCAGUAUUUUAUAAGAUAUGCUUCACCCAUGCAGAGAGAAAAUUUUCGGAUUUCCUCAUUUCUUUGUAGAAAACGUGACGCCCCGCUCCACGCAGGACGUGUUAGGCAAUAGUGACAUACAUGCUAUGUAGAAAAUUACAAUAAUUGCUACAAAAUUGAUAUGAUCCACUUGUACAAUGUAUCAUAUAGCCUACAUUCCUGAUUUACCGCCGCUAGUUGCAGUGCGGAAAUGAAACGUAUUGUACAAUAUUUUUCAAUAUAAUUUUAGCUUUCCCAUGGCAUUGGGACUGAUCCAAACGUGCAGUUGGGCGUGCCACAGAGGCACAUUGUUGCAAUGCUACAAUAGAGUACAGCAUACCAAGAGGCAAUAUUGCGCUAUCGGAUUCACGCUGGAUCGUUGUAUUACGAUUACAAAUCACAAUAAUGACACCUUCUCACCAUCAUUUUAAAUCGUCAGUUUACUAGACAAGUUCCGUUCAUUGGUCUGCCCAAUUUUCUUUUCUUUCCAAUGCUCAUUUUUGUUCACUAAUGUAGCAGCACAAUUGCCAGUAUAAAAACGUGUGGGCAGUGGAAGUUGGAGCAUGUGGAAUUUGCAGCACUCACAGCGGGAAAUGGAGGCUGCCGAGUUCAAAGCCGCGUGCCCCUACGUGACACACCAGCCAUUAAAAUAUCUUCCCGACCGCACGUUUCUACCCUAACAUACCCCAAACUGAUUUCAGAAAGUCGGGCAGAAAAGAAGAAAUGAGCGCUGGCUGUAGUAGGCUAUUGUAUAUGCAUAGAUUGUACACAAGCGUAGGCCUAUAACACCGGGAAAAAAGCUCAGAAGACCCUCCAACAGGUGGGGAAGGUGGAGAACGAUUUGUAGAGUGUCGGUGGAUUAGCGUAUAGCGCUUUGCCACGCCCACGUGAGGUACGGGUGGCUUUUGGCUCGCAGCCCUGUGGGAGUCUGGCAUGAUGUGCAUCACCAUGACACAGGCCGCCAUCUCGACGGGGAGUUUCGGCACCGCAAGACAAGAGGUGUCCACUCACCCCAUUGAAUACCCAGCUCCCCUGACGGGCGCGUGAUUUAUUUCUGGAACCAGUCAUGGCACAGAUCACAAAGUCUCAUUCAGCGUGUCACUUUGGGCCAAAAAAUCAAAAUAAAUAAAAAAGCUUUAGGGCUGGAUGACAACCACACGUCAAUGGUUGUGCCCUGCAAUAUGGUCCUCCUUGUCAGGAUUCAAUUCAUUCAUUUUAAAUCACCGCCCACACUGGAACCACAGCCACUCCAGUUAUGGCUUAUGGAAAAGCACAAGGCCAUAUUGAAAGAAGAUGGUUUUCGCAUGUGCUUGUGCGAACACACCACAAAACACAGCAGAGCAACCCAAAGACUAGAGCGCUGAAGUGUUUCACACAUGUCUCAGCUCAACAAGAACAGGACAAAGUCCAAGUUUUGUAAAUGAGACCUUUUUUUUUCUUUUGAGGAAAGAAUGUUUCUCAAAGAUGAUGCAGGUUGAAGAGAUGGAGUGUUUUUCAUAAGAGACAGCAUCAAACAACUCAAAGUGGUGUCAUUUGCUUUAAGGCUACAACAUGGAAGACACAUGGAAACACACAAGCUCUUAACAUUUUGCUGAAAAUGGGAAGAUGAAUGGUAGGGAUUUCUUAAAGGUAGAUAAGACUAGGGUAUUGCCCACACAUCAUGUUCGCAUAGUGAAAACAAUAACUCUAACUUUCGGCAGAAUGGAGCCAGAAAGAAAACGCAUACAAAUAAAUGUUUGUGUGAUAAUGACAAUAUUUAAAGACACUGACCUGGAUUCAAUCAACAUUGAAUCCUUGUAAUAAAAUGAAAACUUUAGUAUUUAUAUACACAGUCCAGUUUAUUUGUCUUCAACCACACAGUUUGGCAAGUUCAGAAAUCAUCUAAAUGACCUCCAGACUAUGUCUGUUAAAGAAAACAACACAUGAUAUAUUGUAGAUGCUUUGCUUUCUCAAAUAAAAAGUGCUGUCAUUUCA
Anguilla anguilla (European eel) is the source of this 2757-nucleotide long non-coding RNA. RefSeq lists it as uncharacterized. The transcript has 2 exons. The record is from RefSeq and is a predicted model, not a curated record. NCBI's taxonomy places the organism in Eukaryota, Metazoa, Chordata, Actinopteri, Anguilliformes, Anguillidae.